GCAUAUAUAGUAAACGUCAUUAUAUUUGCCUUCCAAGCAAGAGUCCUAAUAAAAUUAGUGUAUGCU
This 66-nucleotide transfer RNA is filed under the name Mytilus californianus (California mussel). RNAcentral describes it as "tRNA-Gly". Lineage: Eukaryota; Metazoa; Mollusca; Bivalvia; Mytilida; Mytilidae. The record is from RNAcentral.